This 107-nucleotide small nuclear RNA is filed under the name Carlito syrichta (Philippine tarsier). The record is from RNAcentral. Lineage: Eukaryota; Metazoa; Chordata; Mammalia; Primates; Tarsiidae.
GUGCUUGUUUCAGCGACACAUAUACUAAAAUUGGGAGGACACAGAAAAGAUUAGCAUGGCCCCUACACAAGAAUGACAUGCAAAUGUGUAAAGUGUCCCAUAUUUUU